Molecule: non-coding RNA, 88 nt
Organism: Podospora didyma
Lineage: Eukaryota; Fungi; Ascomycota; Sordariomycetes; Sordariales; Podosporaceae
Source: the annotation of a GenBank genome assembly
GCCCGCAUGGUCUAGUGGUAUGACGUUCGCCUCACAAUUUAAUCACUGUGUCCGCGACAGGUCCCAGGUUCGAGCCCUGGUGUGGGCA